UUCAGGCUCUCUCCUGGGUGUCUGUAGGUGGUCUGGAAGAGAACAGAGGAAUUGCCAGAAGUCAGUGACUGCUAGGGGGACGAGAGGUGUGCAGCCCUGCUAGGUCCUGCUGCUGCUGGGGAUCUCCGACUAGGAAUUUAGACCUCUUUAUGCUCUAAGUGAAGGCCUUCACUGAAUAAAAGUGCUCAGAAGAACCAGCUUAUUUUCUCAAGAAAAAGAAAUCAGGACCAACCUGGUUUAUUUUGCCUUCUGCUUCGGAUAAACUAAUCAAAAUCAGGUGAAUUGUCAGCUGUAUACAGUUGGAUGUCAGACGCAGAAAACGACACACAGAUCCAACGGUCCCGUUCUCCAACAGGGUGCCUGCACCUCAUUUGCUGUCCGAGUUGUCACAUUCCAAGGGGGAGCACAGACAAGAUGCUCAUACUCAGGCUUUCAGUUUUCUGUUCUGCGUGACCCUCUUGGCCGCCUGUGCCCCCAUAGCCCACACUGCAGGUCUAAUUUAACCCAACAAGACAGACAUGAGAAGAGACCACUACUGGAAAAAAUGAUAUGAAUGUGGAUAACGUGGUUUCUUUUUAACAUUUUAUUAAAACAAGUGAAAUGAAAAGAAAAAAUCCUAAAAAUUUAUCUGAAUUUACCAAGUUAGUGAAGUUCUGCCAGCCUGUUUCCUACGCCAUUCAGAAGGUCAAAAGAGCUGCACUGGAUUAAACAUUUGGCACAGCCAUCCAGGGUCAAGUGUCUUCUUUAUUUAAACUGUAAUAUU
Long non-coding RNA from Dama dama (fallow deer), 763 nucleotides. RefSeq lists it as uncharacterized. The record is from RefSeq and is a predicted model, not a curated record. The transcript has 3 exons. NCBI's taxonomy places the organism in Eukaryota, Metazoa, Chordata, Mammalia, Artiodactyla, Cervidae.